This 253-nucleotide ribosomal RNA is filed under the name uncultured bacterium. RNAcentral's name for it is "partial 16S ribosomal RNA". It matches the Rfam family "Bacterial small subunit ribosomal RNA", at positions 524 to 776 of the family's 1533-position model. The record is from RNAcentral.
UACGAAGGGGGCUAGCGUUGCUCGGAAUCACUGGGCGUAAAGGGUGCGUAGGCGGGUCUUUAAGUCAGGGGUGAAAUCCCGGAGCUCAACUCCGGAACUGCCCUUGAAACUGCAGUGCUAGAAUCUUGGAGAGGCGAGUGGAAUUCCGAGUGUAGAGGUGAAAUUCGUAGAUAUUCGGAAGAACACCAGUGGCGAAGGCGACUCGCUGGACAAGUAUUGACGCUGAGGUGCGAAAGCGUGGGGAGCAAACAGG